This 229-nucleotide ribosomal RNA is filed under the name uncultured bacterium. RNAcentral describes it as "partial 16S ribosomal RNA". It matches the Rfam family "Bacterial small subunit ribosomal RNA", at positions 568 to 796 of the family's 1533-position model. The record is from RNAcentral.
CGCGUAGGCGGCCUGGUGAGUCAGAUGUGAAAGCCCGGGGCUUAACCCCGGAAGUGCAUUUGAUACUGUCAGGCUUGAGUAUGGGAGAGGGAAGUGGAAUUCCUGGUGUAGAGGUGAAAUUCGUAGAUAUCAGGAGGAACACCGGUGGCGAAGGCGACUUCCUGGACCAAUACUGACGCUGAGGCGCGAAGGCGUGGGGAGCAAACAGGAUUAGAUACCCUGGUAGUCC